AUUGAACGCUGGCGGCAGGCUUAACACAUGCAAGUCGAACGGUAACAUAGAAAAUCGUGCUUCUUUGAUGACUAGUGGCGGACGGGUGACUAAUGCUUGAGAAUCUAGCUUAUGGGGGGGGAUAACUGCAGGAAACUGUAACUAAUACCGCGUAGUAUCUAGAGAUGAAAGUGUGGGACCUUCGGGCCACUUGCCAUAUGAUGAACCCAACUGGGAUUAAGUAGUUGGUGAGGUAAAGGCUCACCCAGCCGACGAUCUCUACCUGGUCUAACAGGAUGACCAACCACACUGGGACUGACACACAGCCCACACUCCUACCGGAGGCAGGAGUGGGGAAUAUUGCUCAAUGGGGGCAACCCUGACUCACCCAUGCCCCGUGAAUGAAUAAAGACUGCUGGUUGAUAAGUUCUUUCUGUAGCAAGAAAAGAAUUUAUGUUAAUAAGCUAAGUGAUUGACGUUAACUACUCAAAAAGCACCGGCUAAGUCCGUGCCAUCACCCCCGGUAAUACAGAAGGUGCGAGCGUAACUCUGAAUAACUGGACGGAAAGGGCACCCAGGCGGUGACUUAAGUGAGGUGUGAAAGCCCCGGGCUUAACCUGGGAAUUGCAUUUCAUACUGGGUCGCUAGAGUACUUUAGGGAGGGGGAGAAUUCCACGUGUAGCGGUGAAAUGCGUAGAGAUGUGGAGGCAUACCGAAGGCAAAGGCACCCCCUUGGGAAUGUACUGACGCUCAUGUGCAAAAGCGUGGGGAGCAAACAGGAUUAGAUACCCUGGUAGUCCACGCUGUAAACAAUGUCGAUUUGGGGGUUAAACUUUAAGUUUGGCGCCCGUAGCUAACGUGAUAAAUCCACCGCCUGGGGAGUACGGCCGCAAGGUUAAAACUCAAAUGAAUUGACGGGGGCCCGCACAAGCGGUGGAGCAUGUGGUUUAAUUCUAUGCAACGCGAAGAACCUUACCUACUCUUGACAUCCCGUGAACAUUCCAGAGAUGGAUUGGUGCCUUCGGGAACUCUAAGACACGUGCUGCAUGGCUGUUGUCACCUCUUGUUGUGAAAUGUUGGGUUAAGUCCCGCAACGAGCGCCACCCCUUAUCCUUUGUUGCCAGCGAUUCGGUCGGGCACUCAAAGGAGACUGCCGGUGAUAAACCGGAGGAAGGUGGGGAUGACGUCAAGUCAUCAUGCCCCUUACGAGUAGGGCUACACACGUGCUACAAUGGCGUAUACAGAGGGAAGCGAGAGUGCGAGCUCGAGCGAAUCUCACAAAGUACGUCUAAGUCCGGAUUGGAGUCUGCAACUCGCCUCCAUGAAGUCGGAAUCGCUAGUAAUCGCAAAUCAGAAUGUUGCGGUGAAUACGUUCCCGGGCCU
RNAcentral lists this ribosomal RNA (1362 nucleotides) under uncultured bacterium. Its description in RNAcentral is "16S ribosomal RNA". It matches the Rfam family "Bacterial small subunit ribosomal RNA", at positions 28 to 1381 of the family's 1533-position model. The record is from RNAcentral.